UGGUGGAGUGAUUUGUCUGGUUAAUUCCGUUAACGAACGAGACCUCAGCCAGUCUAGUUAGAGGGUAACAUCCUUUCCGGAUGUUCACAAUCUUCCUAGAGGGACUAUCGGUUUACAACCGGUGGAAGUAUGAGGCAAUAACA
Molecule: ribosomal RNA, 143 nt
Filed under: uncultured eukaryote
Lineage: Eukaryota
Description: partial 18S ribosomal RNA
Rfam family: Eukaryotic small subunit ribosomal RNA
Source: RNAcentral